RNAcentral lists this ribosomal RNA (494 nucleotides) under uncultured bacterium. RNAcentral's name for it is "partial 16S ribosomal RNA". It matches the Rfam family "Bacterial small subunit ribosomal RNA", at positions 28 to 507 of the family's 1533-position model. The record is from RNAcentral.
GACGAACGCUGGCGGCGUGCUUAACACAUGCAAGUCGGACGGUGAAGCGCCUUCCUUUUUGGUGGGUGUGGAUGAGUGGCGAACGGGUGAGUAACACGUGAGUAACCUGCCCCCUUCUUCUGGAUAACCGCAUGAAAGUGUGGCUAAUACGGGAUAUUCUGGGUCUGUCGCAUGAUGGGUCUGGGAAAGAUAUUGUUUCGGUGGGGGAUGGGCUCGCGGCCUAUCAGCUUGUUGGUGGGGUGAUGGCCUACCAAGGCGGUGACGGGUAGCCGGCCUGAGAGGGUGGACGGUCACACUGGGACUGAGACACGGCCCAGACUCCUACGGGAGGCAGCAGUGGGGAAUAUUGCACAAUGGGCGCAAGCCUGAUGCAGCGACGCCGCGUGAGGGAUGGAGGCCUGCGGGUUGUGAACCUCUUUCGCCAGUGAAGCAGGCCUGCCUCGUUUGUGGGUGGGUUGACGGUAGCUGGAUAAGAAGCGCCGGCUAACUACGUG